Molecule: long non-coding RNA, 1589 nt
Filed under: Nicotiana tabacum (common tobacco)
Lineage: Eukaryota; Viridiplantae; Streptophyta; Magnoliopsida; Solanales; Solanaceae
Description: long non-coding RNA (NTAB_LNC006917)
Rfam family: MIR6151 microRNA precursor family (bases 269-339)
Source: RNAcentral
CCCGACCCACUCCCCAAAUAUACGCAGAAGAGAUACACGGAGACUCCCCAAGCCCUAAAUCUCAAACGAACAUUGUUCCUCCAUCAUUCUCACUCGAACCAAGCCCCAAAUUUAGUCCAACUUCGGGCGAGUGAAUCCCAAAUCCUUAACCCACACGUCCCUCCUUCUCUCAUUUUGCCGUUGCUAAUGGUUUCUGAUGCAAGAUUCCCAUCCCCUCUCACUCGCUCGAAUUCAAGUUUUACCAUACGAUUUGAAGGUUCUGGAGACGAGAUAUUGGAUGAGUGUAAGGCGUUGGAUUGAUUUCACUCAAUUCGAGCCCCACAUUCAUCAAGGAUUCGUCUUCAAAAGAAGCCUUAUCCGAUUUUGUGAAGGAGGGAGAUUUUUCUAGAGUUCUUGAGUUUUUUGGUGUGAGGUUGCUUCAGGUUUUUCUUUUCAACCUUCUUCNNNNNNNNNNNNNNNNNNNNNNNNNAUUUUCUAUUUUUUUUGUCAUUUCUUCUUUCUCCUGAUUUCUGGUCCUCAACAAUGGAGCUUGAUUAAAGUUUGAGUUGGAAUUUGCGUUUAAGUCCUAAAUCUCGGUAUCGUUUCAAAUUUCUGUCUGAGCUUUUGAUCUCUACUCGCUUUUGUUGUUGAUUGCUAGUAUUAGCUAUUGAAUUUCACUUGUAUUCCUCGUUCGAGCAAAGUUAAUCAGAAGUGUUUAUCGAUUCCAGGUUCAUUUCUUCUUCAUUUUUAUUUGUUUUUCCGUGAUUCUGUGUCGUGUGCUCAUGUUCUAUUAUGUUUUAGUCUAAGACUGCCUGAAAGUCAGUGUUUGUUGUUUAGAUUAAAGGCUGAGUUCUGUUGGCCUUGAUUCAGGUUUGUUUCUGUUUUUGUGUUUAUUCUAUAUUGGACGAGCGAUUGUAUGCACCGAUAUAAUGGUUGCAGUUGUAUAAAUUCGCCCACUCGUUUGUUAAAUUUGAGCAAUGAAACAAAUUCAUGAAACCUUAAGGGUGGAAGCCUUCUUGUUUGAUCAUUUCUGCUGGUUUAGCUACAGUUUGAGUGCUAAGUGAUUGUUGGGCUUGGUUCACUUGUGAAUUAGUGGAUUGACACGCAUUUAGCUUCACUAUAAGGCCACAGAGAUUAAUGUUCACGUUUCCAACAGUCAUUUCUGUCCUUAGGCUUCUUGAACAGAAUUAAACAUGAAAAUUGUGAAGUAUUAUGGCUGCCUAGUAGCCAUCAAAGUUGGUAUAUAUGGGAAUGAGUUUUGAAAAAGAAUUCUUGUUUGUGUGUGGAGUUUAAACUUGCAAUAAGCCAUGAGACUCCUUCUAAUCACUGUCCAUUUGGUGGUCAAUUAGUUCGGCAGCUUACGGAUAUUCAUUAAACUUCGAUUUGUUUGGUUUUCACUUGUAUGAUUGGGGCGUAACUAACUGCAUAUCAUCUGAGCAAGUUGCCAAUAAGAGGCAUGUUCAUGUGUUCGUAUCUUAAGUAUUCUUGACUGUAUCUGUUGGUUUUUGUUCGAUUUCGGUCAUUGUUAGCUGUGCAAUCUCGUCUGUUGUAGAUGCUGGAGUAUUUCGGCCUCUGAAAUUUCUUGAGCCAGGUAGUUUGAGCUAUGAGGG